GCAUCGGUGGUUCGGUGUGGUAGAAUGCUCGCCUGCCACGCGCGGGCGGCUCCCGGGUUCGAUUCCCGCCGAUGCA
Molecule: non-coding RNA, 76 nt
Organism: Trichonephila inaurata madagascariensis
Lineage: Eukaryota; Metazoa; Arthropoda; Arachnida; Araneae; Nephilidae
Source: the annotation of a GenBank genome assembly